This is a long non-coding RNA of Panicum virgatum (switchgrass), 274 nucleotides long. RefSeq lists it as uncharacterized. The transcript is spliced from 2 exons. NCBI's taxonomy places the organism in Eukaryota, Viridiplantae, Streptophyta, Magnoliopsida, Poales, Poaceae. The record is from RefSeq and is a predicted model, not a curated record.
GCCCUCCCCCUGCCUCCGGAGCCGCGCCGUUGCCCCUGCAGUGCACCUGACGCCGGCUGGCUCUCCUGCCUCUCCUUUCGGCAGCUGUAACUCCGCGCCGGGGACUCGCUGCUCGUGCUCGGCGCGCUCUACUCCACCCAUCCGAUCAUCUCUCAAGGUUUCCCCCUCCAUCUUUCAAGGUUUCUAUCCAUGGCACUUGAUAACAUAUCUACAUGUUGUAGCUCGUCAGUAUUCAUUCCUGAGAUGAGUUUGCUUAAUGUCCCUUUAACCAGCA